Small nucleolar RNA from Cervus hanglu yarkandensis (Yarkand deer), 134 nucleotides. Its record names the gene SNORA70. It matches the Rfam family "Small nucleolar RNA SNORA70". From Rfam's summary of the family: snoRNA U70 seems to be exclusive to mammals and is a member of the H/ACA class of snoRNA which contain H (ANANNA) and ACA box motifs. H/ACA box snoRNAs are involved in the conversion of uridines to pseudouridines (5-ribosyluracil) a constituent of structural RNAs (transfer, ribosomal, small nuclear, and small nucleolar). NCBI's taxonomy places the organism in Eukaryota, Metazoa, Chordata, Mammalia, Artiodactyla, Cervidae. The record is from Ensembl.
UUGCAGCCAAGUAAGCCUAAUGCACUCUUUUCCCAGGGGGACUCAGUGUGCAGUGGCUACAAACAGCAGCCUCCUCAGUAGUUUAUGUAGCCUGUUGCCUGUAGAGGUUGCCCUAAGGGACCCUAGCAUCAGCC